CGUCAAGUCAUCAUGGCCCUUAUGUCCAGGGCUACACACGUGCUACAAUGGGCGGUACAAAGUGAGGCGAAGCCGCGAGGCCAGAGCGAAGCACUAAAGCCGCCCGUAGUCCGGAUUGAAGUCUGAAACCCGACUUCAUGAAGUUGGAAUCGCUAGUAAUCGCGCAUCAGCAUGGCGCGGUGAAUACGUUCCCGGGCCUU
Molecule: ribosomal RNA, 200 nt
Filed under: uncultured prokaryote
Description: partial 16S ribosomal RNA
Rfam family: Bacterial small subunit ribosomal RNA
Source: RNAcentral